RNAcentral lists this ribosomal RNA (847 nucleotides) under Brevundimonas sp. 845C1a. RNAcentral describes it as "bacterial SSU rRNA". It matches the Rfam family "Bacterial small subunit ribosomal RNA", at positions 129 to 1007 of the family's 1533-position model. The record is from RNAcentral. Lineage: Bacteria; Pseudomonadati; Pseudomonadota; Alphaproteobacteria; Caulobacterales; Caulobacteraceae.
CCUUUAGGUUCGGAAUAACUCAGGGAAACUUGUGCUAAUACCGAAUGUGCCCUUCGGGGGAAAGAUUUAUCGCCUUUAGAGCGGCCCGCGUCUGAUUAGCUAGUUGGUGAGGUAAAGGCUCACCAAGGCGACGAUCAGUAGCUGGUCUGAGAGGAUGAUCAGCCACAUUGGGACUGAGACACGGCCCAAACUCCUACGGGAGGCAGCAGUGGGGAAUCUUGCGCAAUGGGCGAAAGCCUGACGCAGCCAUGCCGCGUGAAUGAUGAAGGUCUUAGGAUUGUAAAAUUCUUUCACCGGGGACGAUAAUGACGGUACCCGGAGAAGAAGCCCCGGCUAACUUCGUGCCAGCAGCCGCGGUAAUACGAAGGGGGCUAGCGUUGCUCGGAAUUACUGGGCGUAAAGGGAGCGUAGGCGGACAUUUAAGUCAGGGGUGAAAUCCCGGGGCUCAACCUCGGAAUUGCCUUUGAUACUGGGUGUCUUGAGUAUGAGAGAGGUGUGUGGAACUCCGAGUGUAGAGGUGAAAUUCGUAGAUAUUCGGAAGAACACCAGUGGCGAAGGCGACACACUGGCUCAUUACUGACGCUGAGGCUCGAAAGCGUGGGGAGCAAACAGGAUUAGAUACCCUGGUAGUCCACGCCGUAAACGAUGAUUGCUAGUUGUCGGGAUGCAUGCAUUUCGGUGACGCAGCUAACGCAUUAAGCAAUCCGCCUGGGGAGUACGGUCGCAAGAUUAAAACUCAAAGGAAUUGACGGGGGCCCGCACAAGCGGUGGAGCAUGUGGGUUUAAUUUCGAAGCAACGCGCAGAAACCUUACCACCUUUUUGACAUGCCCUGGAACCGCCAGAAAA